This is a non-coding RNA of Vicugna pacos (alpaca), 528 nucleotides long. The record is from RefSeq and is a predicted model, not a curated record. Lineage: Eukaryota; Metazoa; Chordata; Mammalia; Artiodactyla; Camelidae.
CAUUAAAUGUGAGGCAGGAGACCUCCUCAGCCCCAGACCUUAACAAAGGUCUCUCCCUCUCUAACCACUUUCAAUGCAGAACAGGCUGAUGGACAGACGUGAGGACACUUGCUGUGGAACUAGAACGCCUCCUGGGAGCCCAGGGAUGGGGAACUGACCUGAGUCUUUGAAGCUCACAAUACUAGAGCCUCUUGGUCGGACUAGAACAUUCUAGCCAUGGUAGCUGGCAGGACAGGAGCACGAGCUUGUCAGAAACAGGCGUUCGACUGACAAGCCCAGCUCAAGCCAAGCUGGCCGGGCAGUCCUCCUGAACCAGUUGCCCUGAGCAAAUGCGGCAGAAUCUUCAGCCAAGUGUCCACCCUGUACUCACAGAACCAGAACUUCCUCCUCCUCCGCCCGGAUUCGGCCAAUAUCCGCGACUGAAGUGGAGACACCUGAAGGCACACUUUUCUGAGUGCCUCGGUACAGACACUGAAGCCGCAGCCCACCCAGGGGGUGCUGUCCCGGACCCCACGGGCCAGUGGCAGG